Long non-coding RNA from Oncorhynchus tshawytscha (Chinook salmon), 2648 nucleotides. RefSeq lists it as uncharacterized. The transcript has 2 exons. The record is from RefSeq and is a predicted model, not a curated record. Lineage: Eukaryota; Metazoa; Chordata; Actinopteri; Salmoniformes; Salmonidae.
CCAGUACAUCACUGGGGCCAAGCUUCCUGCCAUACAGGACCUCUACACCAGGCACUGUCAGAGGAAGGCCCUAAACAUUGUCAAAGACUCCAGCCACCCUAGUCAUAGACCAUUCUCCCUGCUGCCGCACGGCAAGCGUUACCGGAGCGCAAUGUCUAGGUCCAAGAGGCUUCUAAACAGUUUCUACCCCCAAGCCAUAAGACUCCGGAACAUCCAAUCAAAUGGCCAUUUGAUGGCUAUAAAUAGCUAUAGUUAUCAUCUAUGCAUAGUCACUUUAAUAACUCUACAUACAUGUACAUAUUACCUCAACUAACCGGUGCCCCAGCACAUUGACUCCGUACUGGUAGCCUCCUGUGUAUGUCUCGCUAUUGUUAUUUUACUGCUGCUCUUUAAUUACUUGUUACUUUUCUUUCUUAUUCUUACUCAUUUUUUUUUAGCUGCAUUGCUGGUUAGGGGCUCGUAAGCAUUUCACUGUAAGGUCUAAAUACUGGUAGCCUCCUGUGUAUAGUCUCGCUAUUGUUGUAUUCGACGCAUGUGACUAAUACAAUUUGAUUUGAUUUGUGUGCUAGACCCUCCGUUAAAUUACACAUUUCUCGAGGUAGGAAUACAGCAAAAAAUAUGAUCAUUGGCUCAUUCGAGAGAAGACAUCCUCCUGAGUUAUGACAUCGGCCAGAUUUGAAAACUGACAUGUAUGAUAGAUGUUUUCGGCAAUCUUAAAGUCGUAUUCCUAUUAGCUUCCAGUGUAGUGAGUGACUUUAUCACGGUGCUACGUAAUACCAGACGGAUUUCUGUCUGCUUGAAUGCCAAUAACUCAGAUAAACAUGAAAUUACCCAGGGAAUCGAUAGAACAUCACUCAGAGAUGCACAAAAACAAUAUAAUAUUCAAAAUGGGUGAACCUUCCCUUUAAUUUCAUUAUAUAUUGUGUAAUAGUAGCAGUGUCAUCAUUGAAUUCAUUACUGAUGGAAGGAUACAGGUUACACAGAGAGAAUGAGUUGUCCCAGUGGAUGGUUUGUGCGUGUGUAUGUGCGUGUGUGUUUGCAUGUGUAUUUGCAAAUGUAUAUUUGUAUAUGUGAGUGUGUCUGUGCAUACAUGUGUGUAUAUGUUUGUUUGUUAGGUUUCACCCCCUGCUCUCCCCCUGUCUUCCCCCCAUGAACCCUCUAGCGGCUCAGCUGAUGUUGAGGAGGGGCCCCUCUCGCCACUGGCUCCUGGGGACCUCUCUCUCCCAGCUGCAGGAGCUGCUCUCUGAGGUCCCUCACAAAGUCAUCAAGCUCUUCAGUGACACCAGGUCUCUGUACACAUCCAGAGUCUCACCCUGAGUCCACUCAUCAGAAAGACCACAGUAGCUCCACCGACCCUUGUGCCACAGCAGAGACAACCAACACCCACACAUCGCGACCCACACACACACUGCGAUGAGAACCAUUCAAGCCUAUCCCCAACAGCUGCCUCGCUGGCUCCCCCAGUGCUGAGAGUUUAGCUAGGAGUUUAUAUGAAGAGAGCUCUCUCAUUACCAAGGAGGACAGUGCAGACUUCCAGGUAGACUUGAGUCAGGCCCCUUUCCAGCACACCUGGAGCCACAACCCAUGGGAGACAUAUGAGGUGAAAUUUGUAGGCUGGAAUAGAGGAGGACGAGGAGAGGAGUGGACAUCCAGAGCAUCCCUACACCAGGAGCCCCGUGGCUCCCCCAGAGACUACACGCCAGAGAACCCUGUUCAGACAGACCCCUUGUUAUCAUUCAGCUACAGCACCACAGAGACACACAGAGACCAGCGUACUCCGACAACCUUAUGUACUCAUACUCUACAGUAGGCUACAGUAAACAGCAGCAGUACCCUGAUGGCAGCCUGGCCUCGCCUAGAGGAGCUCUGCCAUUGGGGGCAGUAGCAGUGGCAGUGGCCCCUACAGCACAACUCAGGGGAGGGGUGACAUGAGUGAGACACCUGACUAUGGGAUCAGUUACACGAUGGGGUUAGAGAGAAAGAGGAGAUCAGAGGCCCCAAAGAUGAACAAUGAGAGUAACAUGUUAGACUGUUGAUGAAGCAAGUUUCCAUUUAAAUAUAUUUUUUAGAGAUCUCCUUUAGUGGUUUGGGAAAGUUCUAGUAUAGCCUCUAGUGUGGAAAUUAUAUCAUUAUUGAGGUAAAUGUGAGCAAUUACGAGAUUAUAUUGUUCUGUUUUCAUGUAUUCUUUUCAGUUUUAAAGGCCAUUGAAGAGGGGAAAGCUUAGUUAUGAGAAGGUGUUAGGCUGAAGGGAUAGACAUAUAAGACUAACCUUUUUCUAAAAUGUCUCAUAUCUGUGAAAUACUGAGAUAUUAAGAUUUGCCUGAAAAGUGAACAGUAUCCUGUCAGUCCCUUGCCCUGUCAACAACUACAGAUAUUUGGUAUGUAAGAAAUAUAUGAGGUAUGCCAUAGGUUCUUGAGUGUUUGAAAGACACUAUUAAAUGUUUAACUGUUGUUGGGAAAAUAUUUGUCAAUUUAUGUGUGUUAAGGUUUUUUUAAAUAAUUAUUUUGUAAAUAUUUUUCUAAGGAUAAGACUAAAUAGACGGUUUUGUUAUAUUUUGACUUCAUAUAAAACAUAUAAUGCUAAAGAUAAAUAAUUGUAAGUUAUGCUAGGACAAAUACUUUUUAAAUUAAAGCCAAUCUGAAAUGUU